RNAcentral lists this ribosomal RNA (433 nucleotides) under uncultured bacterium. RNAcentral describes it as "partial 16S ribosomal RNA". It matches the Rfam family "Bacterial small subunit ribosomal RNA", at positions 29 to 507 of the family's 1533-position model. The record is from RNAcentral.
AACGAACGCUGGCGGCAUGCUUAACACAUGCAAUUCGAACGAAACCUUCCUGCUUACUGGCUACUCGAUUCGUAACCCGUUGGAUCACGCCCUUAUGAUCUGCACUACUCUUCGAAAUGGGCCUUAAUACCUGAUUCUGUCUUCGGACCAAAGAGUUAUAUCCUGUGGUUGUUCACGCGUUUGAUUAGCUAGUUGUUAGGGUAAAAGCUUUCCACGGCGACGAUCCAUAGCUGGUUUGAGAGGACGAUCAGCCACACUGGGACUGAGACACGGCCCAGACGCCUACGGGAGGCAGCAGAGGGGAAUAUUGGACAAUGGGCGAAAGCCUGAGCCAGCAAGGCCGCGUGAGUGAUGAAGGCCUUAGGGUUGUAAAGCUCUUUUAACCGGGAUGAUAAUGACAGUACCGGGAGAAUAAGCGCCGGCUAACUACGUG